AUGCCCACCUGGCCGAACCGGCAGGAGCAGGAGGAGGAGAAACCUCUCCCAUCCCCACCUCCCCUCUGUCCCGCGGGGCUCCGGGCGGCCGUGACCCUGCUGGAGUCCGGGGGGGACCUCCAGCCCCCCGGGGGGUCCCUGCGCCUCCUCUGCCGCGCCUCCGGCUUCGAUUUUGGGAGCUACGAAAUGGACUGGGUGCGCCAGAGACCCGGGCAGGGCCUGGAGUGGCUUGCGGGGAUCAGCAGCGGUGGCAGCACCGCGUACGCGCCGUCGGUGAAGGGCCGGGCGACGAUCUCCAGGGACAACGGGCAGAGCUCGGUGACGCUGACCAUGAACGGCCUCAAGGACGAGGAUUCCGGCUCCUGUUUCUGUGCCAAAAAAGCUGAUGGUUGUUGUGCUGAUCCUGCUGCUGCUGCCUCUGGUUGGAAACUUCCCCCAAAGCUCAUCCCCUGA
Non-coding RNA from Vidua macroura (Pin-tailed whydah), 453 nucleotides. NCBI's taxonomy places the organism in Eukaryota, Metazoa, Chordata, Aves, Passeriformes, Viduidae. The record is from the annotation of a RefSeq genome assembly.